This is a long non-coding RNA of Syngnathus typhle (broad-nosed pipefish), 826 nucleotides long. RefSeq lists it as uncharacterized. The record is from RefSeq and is a predicted model, not a curated record. The transcript has 5 exons. Lineage: Eukaryota; Metazoa; Chordata; Actinopteri; Syngnathiformes; Syngnathidae.
GAAUACUGACUGGUAAUAUGGGAACCAUGAUUUCUCUGAAAAAAGGCUGAAUGACCACAGUGAAGUCCGGCCGGGUGUCGUAACGAUUGGACUCCACCAGUUCGUUCAGCAUCAGCUGUUCUCCAGUUUUUCCAGUGAGGUCGAGGUGGGCUUUGGUAAGAUGACACAAGGGCACAGAAAACUGCAAAAGGACAGAUGAUUGGUGGUCGUCAUGGUGACACAUGCUGUGAUACUCACUUGACUAGCCAGGCUGCAGCUGAAAGACACGUUUGACAAUGGCGAAGUGCGGCCGGCAGGUCGGAAGGCGCAUUGCUGACGUUUGGGUUAGGCCUCACCAGGUGCUGACUCGACUAUCAAAGUAGAAAGCAGCAUGGACAAAAAGUUCUUGUGAAAGCUGAGGUUGCAGGUUACACACUAAACUUCAUUCAAACCUGUUGCCCAUGAGGAGAACUUGAGGAAGGUGGCUACAACAAGCAGUGGAAUCAUCUUCAUCAAAAAUCCCCCCCCUUUUUUUUUUUUUUUUAAAUCCAAAAAUUAUUUUUAGCGUUCGUCUUUCCUGAAGUCCUUCUUCUGAGUCGACUCUAUCAGGCAGUAAGGUGCUAAAUGUCUAUUAUCAGUUGUACCAGACUAUAGUCGAUGAUAGGUAUCAUAAUUACGUCCAAAGGGGGUGGGCCUGAUUCUCUUGUUCAAAGGACAUCAUUGAAGUCAAAGAAUUAUUUUAAGACUCUUAAUAAAAUCAUCAAUGAUAAAAGUGCGACAAAAUCUUACUCCCAAAAUUAGAAACAGUUAUCUAUGUAAUGUCUACACAUCAAAUUUAGACUGCAUU